This 247-nucleotide ribosomal RNA is filed under the name uncultured bacterium. RNAcentral describes it as "partial 16S ribosomal RNA". It matches the Rfam family "Bacterial small subunit ribosomal RNA", at positions 524 to 769 of the family's 1533-position model. The record is from RNAcentral.
UACGAAGGGGGGCUAGCGUUGCUCGGAAUCACUGGGCGUAAAGGGCGCGUAGGCGGCGUUUUAAGUCGGGGGUGAAAGCCUGUGGCUCAACCACAGAAUUGCCUUCGAUACUGGGACGCUUGAGUGUGGUAGAGGUUGGUGGAACUGCGAGUGUAGAGGUGAAAUUCGUAGAUAUUCGCAAGAACACCGGUGGCGAAGGCGGCCAACUGGACCAUCACUGACGCUGAGGCGCGAAAGCGUGGGGAGC